This 58-nucleotide transfer RNA is filed under the name Dipodomys ordii (Ord's kangaroo rat). It matches the Rfam family "tRNA", at positions 8 to 63 of the family's 71-position model. Rfam says of the family: Transfer RNA (tRNA) molecules are approximately 80 nucleotides in length. Their secondary structure includes four short double-helical elements and three loops (D, anti-codon, and T loops). Further hydrogen bonds mediate the characteristic L-shaped molecular structure. tRNAs have two regions of fundamental functional importance: the anti-codon, which is responsible for specific mRNA codon recognition, and the 3' end, to which the tRNAs corresponding amino acid is attached (by aminoacyl-tRNA synthetases). tRNAs cope with the degeneracy of the genetic code in two manners: having more than one tRNA (with a specific anti-codon) for a particular amino acid; and 'wobble' base-pairing, i.e. permitting non-standard base-pairing at the 3rd anti-codon position. The record is from Rfam by way of RNAcentral. Lineage: Eukaryota; Metazoa; Chordata; Mammalia; Rodentia; Heteromyidae.
UGGCUCAGUGGUAGAGUGCUUGCCUCUCAAGCAUGAGGUCCUGAGUUCAAUUCCUCAG